AGACGGCAGUGGGGAAUAUUGCACAAUGGGGGAAACCCUGAUGCAGCCAUGCCGCGUGUGUGAAGAAGGCCUUCGGGUUGUAAAGCACUUUCAGUAGGGAGGAAGGUAGUGUAGUUAACACCUGCAUUAUUUGACGUUACCUACAGAAGAAGCACCGGCUAACUCCGUGCCAGCAGCCGCGGUAAUACGGAGGGUGCGAGCGUUAAUCGGAAUUACUGGGCGUAAAGCGCAUGCAGGCGGCCUGUUAAGUCAGAUGUGAAAGCCCCGGGGCUUAACCUCGGAAUUGCAUUUGAAACUGGCAGGCUAGAGUCUUGUAGAGGGGGUAGAAUUUCAGGUGUAGCGGUGAAAUGCGUAGAGAUCUGAAGGAAUACCAGUGGCGAAGGCGGCCCCCUGGACAAAGACUGACGCUCAGAUGCGAAAGCGUGGGGAGCAAACAGGAUUAGAUACCCUGGUAG
This 455-nucleotide ribosomal RNA is filed under the name uncultured bacterium. RNAcentral describes it as "bacterial SSU rRNA". It matches the Rfam family "Bacterial small subunit ribosomal RNA", at positions 346 to 793 of the family's 1533-position model. The record is from RNAcentral.